Molecule: transfer RNA, 68 nt
Filed under: Candidatus Moranbacteria bacterium CG06_land_8_20_14_3_00_43_56
Lineage: Bacteria; Candidatus Moraniibacteriota
Description: tRNA-Val
Rfam family: tRNA
About the family: Transfer RNA (tRNA) molecules are approximately 80 nucleotides in length. Their secondary structure includes four short double-helical elements and three loops (D, anti-codon, and T loops).
Source: RNAcentral
GGGCGCGUAGCUCAGUUGGUUAGAGCAUUUGUCUUACAAACAAAGGGUCAGAGGUUCGAGUCCUCUCG